GAUGAACGCUGACAGAAUGCUUAACACAUGCAAGUCUUUGGCGAAGCUGUGCUUGCACAGCCUAGCAAAGGCGGACGGGUGAGUAACGCGUAAGGAACUUGCCCUGCAGUCAGGGAUAACAGACGGAAACGACUGAUAAGAACUAGUAAAGUUAGGCCGAAUCAUGUCUAGUCUGAUGAAAAGAGAUGCUGAAGUGGAGGCUUGCGACCGAUUAGCUUGCUGGUGGGGUAACGGCCCACCAAGGCGAUGAUGGGUAGCCGGUGUGAGAGGGUGGACGGCCACAAGGGGACUGGGGGACGGCGCAUACACCUACGGGAGGCAGCAGUGAGGAAGACUGGACAAUGGGGGCAAAGCUGAGCCAGCAAUUCUGUGUGAACGAUGUAGGUUUUCGGAUUGUAAAGUGCUUUCAGCAGGGAAGAAAAAAAUGACGGUACCUGAAGAAGAAGCGACGGCUAAAUACGUG
Molecule: ribosomal RNA, 463 nt
Filed under: uncultured bacterium
Lineage: Bacteria
Description: partial 16S ribosomal RNA
Rfam family: Bacterial small subunit ribosomal RNA
Source: RNAcentral